UGGGGAAUAUUGCACAAUGGGCGCAAGCCUGAUGCAGCAACGCCGCGUGAGGGACGACGGCCUUCGGGUUGUAAACCUCUUUUGGCAGGGAAGAAGCGAAAGUGACGGUACCUGCAGAAAAAGCACCGGCUAACUACGUGCCAGCAGCCGCGGUGAUACGUAGGGUGCAAGCGUUGUCCGGAAUUAUUGGGCGUAAAGAGCUCGUAGGCGGUUUGUCGCGUCUGCUGUGAAAACCCGAGGCUCAACCUCGGGCCUGCAGUGGGUACGGGCAAACUAGAGUGCGGUAGGGGAGAUUGGAAUUCCUGGUGUAGCGGUGGAAUGCGCAGAUAUCAGGAGGAACACCGAUGACGAAGGCAGAUCUCUGGGCCGUAACUGACGCUGAGGAGCGAAAGCAUGGGGAUCGAACA
Molecule: ribosomal RNA, 407 nt
Filed under: uncultured bacterium
Lineage: Bacteria
Description: bacterial SSU rRNA
Rfam family: Bacterial small subunit ribosomal RNA
Source: RNAcentral